AGAGCAUGAUGUGGAUAAUUCCUCGUUAGCUCCUUGUAUCUUUCUCAUGCCUCAUAUAAGGAUUUAGUUUCUUGUUGCACAGAGGUAGUGAUCUCAUUUUUCAUUUU
This 107-nucleotide small nucleolar RNA is filed under the name Vigna radiata var. radiata (mung bean). Its description in RNAcentral is "Plant small nucleolar RNA R71". It matches the Rfam family "Plant small nucleolar RNA R71". Rfam says of the family: R71 is a member of the C/D box family of snoRNAs containing the C (UGAUGA) and D (CUGA) box motifs. Multiple nearly identical copies of this snoRNA have been identified in Arabidopsis, and it is thought to function as a 2'-O-ribose methylation guide for 18S ribosomal RNA. The record is from Rfam by way of RNAcentral. Lineage: Eukaryota; Viridiplantae; Streptophyta; Magnoliopsida; Fabales; Fabaceae.